This 2468-nucleotide long non-coding RNA is filed under the name Anas platyrhynchos platyrhynchos (common mallard). RNAcentral describes it as "lncRNA (ENSAPLG00000020358.1)". Lineage: Eukaryota; Metazoa; Chordata; Aves; Anseriformes; Anatidae. The record is from RNAcentral.
GUUUGGAUUUCUCAUAUUCAGCUUAACUUGUGCAGGUUUGUGAUGGAGUAUUAGUGAGUAUCUGAAGGAAUGCUGAUUUUGGUGACUUACUUGGUUAUGUACAGAUUAUUUACAUUGCCAAGAAGAGUUGAGAGGACCAAAGAAAACAGAAAUGUAUUAAAGCCCUGAAAUCAAAUACAGCUCUCUAGUCCUCUUUUAGUCAAGAUCCUAAGCAAAGGGAAUUGAAGGUUAUUUUAAUCAGACCACAUACGUAUAUAGCUCCAAAGCUAAAUUAUGUGGUAGUUGGAGAUUUCUAUUGCUGCCUGUAUAUAUGUUUUCUAUAAUUAGCAUUCAGGUAGGCAUGCUUCUCAAUGAUAGACUUUCCAAAGAGCAUUACUGUUUUGAGACCCUGAUAAAAAUGAACAGUGGAGUUGUUUUUUCUUGUUUCUCUUUGGGUUUCCUGUCAGGGAAAGGAAACAGAUAACCACAGGGACCUCAGCAAUCUGCAGCCACAAAACCAGCUAAAAGAACAAGUGUUUUUUUUUGGUUGUGUAUUAUUGUUUCACGUGUGGGGAAGGUGAGCAGCACCUGAAGUGCUGACAGAUUUGUGUCUGAGGACAUUCCAGGUGCUCUGCUGGUGCUGUCCCCGUGCUGCUGGUUGCUCUCUGUGAAGCAGCGCAGCUGGGCCCAGCGGCCGCCAUUUUGUGCCUCCGCGUGCCGCUGGUGAUGGCGGCUGCGCCCAUGAGGGGGGCGAUGCAGUGGGAUCCAGCCAGCACCUCGCUGAGGGGCCUGGAUGGGAGGGACGGAGCAACGCAAGUUUCUAUGGGAAGAACUCCAUGUAUGUAAGAGUCACCUGAAGACUGACUUCAGCUCAGACAAGGUACUCCUUUGCCUUAUACGAAAAAUUUUUAGUUUUAGAUAUGCUACUGAAUGUUGUUUGGAAAUAAGUUUAUAUCUCAUUUUCUUUGGCUGUUCUAAGUGAACUCAUUGAAAGUGUUGUUGAUUUUAAAAUAUUUGUAUUACAAAGAUGUCUGACUUAAAGGUAAGCAUCCUACUAAUGAACACAAAUACAGAUUGCAAACUUCUCUGAAAUGCUUGGGAAUCAACCUUUUGCGACAGAAAUCAAUGUUCUACCAUAUGUAGGAUGACAGAUGAAAUAGCACUUAGUCACGUUGCAACAGUAGAAUUAAAAUACCCCAGUCACCAUAAUCCAAAGGAACUCUAGAGUCACAGCCCCAUCUGAAGAGAAUUGUAUCAAUGUAUCAUUUAGUUUAUUUUUGUUACUAAAAGCCUUACCUACAAAUGCAAAUAUGACCAGGAAAAUUUGUUAUGAUGUGUGUUGUUUGAGUCCUGCUUUGGCUUACAAAAUGAAAAGUACCAACACAGUAGGCAGAGCACCAUGAACAGUAACAGUGGCAUAAAAUUCAAUGCUGAUGAUUUAGGAAAAAAAAAAAAAGCAAAAUAAUUUUUGAAAUAGAGUGAAACUGUGAACAUGACUUUGUGGUCAUCAUCAGAGCUUUAGCUACUUUUACAAAUUUUAAGCAUGGAAUUAUUCAUUUAGACUUUGGGCUCCAACUACUGUCACUAUCUUAAUUCAGCCCUCCCAUUCUUUAAAAUUAACUUAUUCUUUAAUAUUUGCAAACCUUGAAAUGACUGAUCAAAUAGGCCUGCACCUUUUAUAAGUUUGUUUUUUCACCUGUUUUCAAAUGGUGCUGACUUGUGUGGAUGUUGGUCUCUGGAACUAGAGGUCAUGGUUCUUCAUGCAGACUAGGGAAAGACUGCAACUCAGUGUGAGGGGAUGUAAUUUCAUUCUCCGCUCUGUUCAGAGCAAGUAUAGUCCUGGCAGUUUAAAAAAAAAAAAAAAAAAAAAAAAGGAGGGGGGGGCAUAAAAAUCACAGUUGAUAUUCCUUUUACAGUCUUUUUGAAAAUUGUGAUGCAAAUCUGUAGACAAGCUCUGAAGUACCAAUCACUGGACUUAUUCCUCUUCCAUUAUUCAUCUGUUUCAUAAGAUAUUUUAAUGACAAAGCCCCAUAAGUCUUCACUGGAAUAUAGGAUGCUAAUAUAAAUUCUUUUAGGUGUCUCAAAACAUCUUGGGAAGCUGCGUUUUUCAGUUACUUUGUCCAUGUUUUAAUUUUUAUUGUGUUUUCAGUUUAAUGAAAAAUGGCUUUUACAGAACAUUAAUAUGCUCACUUUUAAUUUUAGCCUUGUUUACUUUUGUCUUUAUGUAUACUUCCUAAUAGGUAUAAUGUGUGUACAUAUUCUCACAGGUCUUGAUAUGGCCCCAGUGAUAUUAAGCAAGUAAAUGGAAAAUUACCUUAAGAAUGAUUUUAAAAAACAAUGUCUACAUAAGUAGUUGCAGAAAAUGUUUUCAAAAGCUAGGACGAAUGGAGCAAUUACACAGUAAAAACAUAUUUAUGCCUGUAUAGAUUGGCAGAUUAAGAUACUUUAGUUUAAGAAUACAAGAAAAUAAAAGUCAAACUAAAGGUCCA